This is a long non-coding RNA of Hylaeus volcanicus, 663 nucleotides long. RefSeq lists it as uncharacterized. The record is from RefSeq and is a predicted model, not a curated record. NCBI's taxonomy places the organism in Eukaryota, Metazoa, Arthropoda, Insecta, Hymenoptera, Colletidae. The transcript has 2 exons.
GAAGUUUCGUUUCAUUAGACACAUCAUGUACCAGUCGUCGGCCGACGUUCUGGGCGGCUUCUGUUACGAUUCCGCGACACUUCGCAACGAUUCGUCGACAAACAGAGAACGUGGCGAUACCAAGUAUCGGAGAGCUACGUUUACCGUGAUGCGCGACUUUAUCGAGCUAGAUUCGGAGAAUGUAGAAUGUACAUCGUCGUAGGGUACGUUUUCUAUCGCGAAUCGUUACCACGUUCGCGCCGCGUCGAUCGAUUAUUCUCUCUCGAAGCAACGCGACACGCAUCGGAGAUUAAUUCGUAUUAGUGAAGCUCUAAUACGGAAAAUAUUAAUUACAAACGCAAACAAGCUGACGUUGCAGAGGCUCGUAUUGUGCAGCCUUACACAUUCGGCACACGCACACGUUAGUGACAGAUUGCACGUCACAGCACAGACAGUUAGUAAUGCUCGGUAGCGAGACAAAGCGUUGGUCACACGUCACACGUCACACGUUUCCAGUGAGGCGCGUCCGUCGACGAGGAUUGCUGUUCAAGUGUUCACGCUUUACCUGCCCGCCCAUUUUAGGCGCUAUUGGAAAUCGGGUGCACCAGUUUGAAGAAAUCUUGCUCACCGCAAAUCAAGCGGACACCCAAGCCAUCGGCUGUUGUGACGAAAUGAAUUGACCUU